UACGUAGGGUGCGAGCGUUAAUCGGAAUUACUGGGCGUAAAGCGUGCGCAGGCGGUUCGUUGUGUCGGCGGUGAAAGCCCCGGGCUUAACCUGGGAAUGGCCGUCGAAACUGGCGAACUGGAGUGUGGCAGAGGGGGGUGGAAUUCCGCGUGUAGCAGUGAAAUGCGUAGAGAUGCGGAGGAACACCGAUGGCGAAGGCAGCCCCUGGGCUGACACUGACGCUCAGGCACGAAAGCGUGGGGAGCAAAC
Molecule: ribosomal RNA, 249 nt
Filed under: uncultured bacterium
Lineage: Bacteria
Description: partial 16S ribosomal RNA
Rfam family: Bacterial small subunit ribosomal RNA
Source: RNAcentral